GCUGGGGUGGUCUAGUGGUAAGGCACCGGGAUAGCAGGCCUGGCGGUAUUCAGUGGAUGCCGACCACCUACUCGCAACCGGAGAUCGCUGGUUCGAAUCCAGCCCUCGGCA
RNAcentral lists this transfer RNA (111 nucleotides) under Hypoxylon rubiginosum. RNAcentral describes it as "tRNA-Ala". It matches the Rfam family "tRNA". From Rfam's summary of the family: Transfer RNA (tRNA) molecules are approximately 80 nucleotides in length. Their secondary structure includes four short double-helical elements and three loops (D, anti-codon, and T loops). Further hydrogen bonds mediate the characteristic L-shaped molecular structure. tRNAs have two regions of fundamental functional importance: the anti-codon, which is responsible for specific mRNA codon recognition, and the 3' end, to which the tRNAs corresponding amino acid is attached (by aminoacyl-tRNA synthetases). tRNAs cope with the degeneracy of the genetic code in two manners: having more than one tRNA (with a specific anti-codon) for a particular amino acid; and 'wobble' base-pairing, i.e. permitting non-standard base-pairing at the 3rd anti-codon position. Lineage: Eukaryota; Fungi; Ascomycota; Sordariomycetes; Xylariales; Hypoxylaceae. The record is from RNAcentral.